Argiope bruennichi is the source of this 307-nucleotide long non-coding RNA. RefSeq lists it as uncharacterized. The record is from RefSeq and is a predicted model, not a curated record. NCBI's taxonomy places the organism in Eukaryota, Metazoa, Arthropoda, Arachnida, Araneae, Araneidae. The transcript is spliced from 3 exons.
UUAGUUUGUAAGUCUGAUCUGUGUAAGCGAAAUCUAAUCAACAUGGGACUUAUUCCGAUUUCGAUCUACCGAUCACCCGUUGCGAUUUUACUUGACCAAAUUAUCACCCCAGCGACGAAAAUCAGAAGUCUUUUGUCUCGUCCAAAGCCAGUAGGAGGCAGUCCUGAUACCAAACCUGCUACUGCCGCUUCAGGACAAUCGAAAUUGCCCUCUACCAGAUCAUCAUAGAUGUAACCAUGAGCAUCUCAUCAUAGUUUCUAAUGUUGAACUUAUAACAUAGCACAUAAUUUAGCAUUUUAUUGUAAGG